GGAUCGAUGAUGACUUCCAUAUAUACAUUCCUUGGAAAGCUGAACAAAAUGAGUGAAAACUCUAUACCGUCAUCCUCGUCGAACUGAGGUCCAGCACAUUACUCCAUCAGGGGCUAGACAGAGAGGGCCAACAUUCGUUUGUUGAUAUGGGUUGCAUCAAGGGGUCCAUCCAGGCUUAGGAUGGGGUCCCUUUGGGCAAUUGGAAGUCACAGGGAAGUGGGAGCUCCCAUGCACAGGAAAUUCCUUAUUUGAAGGACUUCUUUCUCCCUGGGCGGGAUAACUCACCUACUGUCUGAAGGACUAGGUGAAUGGCAGGUGGCAUGGAAAGAGUUUGUGGGUAGUCUGCCUCUGGUGGCCAAGUUUGUUCUUGAGUCCAAGCUCUGGAUUCCCAGAGGAAGACAGAUCCCCUGGUUGCGGGGAGAGCACAAGCCUACACUAUUCUCACUUGUUAGCUUGUUUUGUCCUUGGCGGAGGACGUUGUAUUUCCAGGCACCCAGCAUAGCCUCUUUGCCGCAUUUCCAUGUCAUAUCCCAUAUGUUAUGAGGAUUUGUGUAUUGCAUGAUCAGGCAGGCUUCUGCUCCAAGCUGGGGCUGUCAGGCAAGGAGUCUCUGGGUUAUUCCAAACCUGAUUUAGGUCAGUGGCUUCCUCUUUCAGGAUUCAUGGCCCCAAGGCUUUUGUGAGCACCAUUGCAGGUGUUGAAGCAACGAUGUUGAGAGGGAUGCCCAACAUCAGUGCUCUUUAGCAGGAUGGUGCACCUCGAGGGCCCCUGGCCCUGGGACGAGCAUCUGCGUGUCCAUGCAUUUCUGUGUCCAUGAACAGGCGAGGCCAUAGACAGGCAAAUAGCAGAUGUGUCACAGGGGACUGGAUAACAUGGCCCUCGUGACGUGUGCAACCUGUCUGCCUUUCUGAAGCACGCCUGUGUUUCCUCUGCACUUCACAGGUGGUGUUGGCAUGAAAGGCAGGCUUGUAUCAUGAGGAAUGAUUGUCAUCUUGUCUGAUUCUUGGAGAUGGCAGGAAGCCCCUGGAAACACAUGGUGUGGACUCUUUCACAGGCUGUUGAAACCCUCCUGAAUGUGAGGCCAGAGACAGGCAGACAGCAGAUGUAUUGCAGGGAGCUGGAUGACAUGGCCCUUGGAACCUGUGCACAUGCCUGCCUUUCUGAUGCACGUCCAUGUUUUCUCUGCACCUCCCCGGUGGUGUUGGUAUAAAAAGCAGGCUUACAUCAGCAAGGGAUGAUUGUCGUCUCAUGCGAUCCUGGGAGAUGGCAGAAGUCCCGGGACACAUGGAGUGUGGGCUCUUUCGGAGGCUGUUGGAUCCCUCCUGAAUGUGUUGUGGCCAUGGAAGUAAGGCCAGUGGCUACGAGGGACAGUCUUCAUCUUGGGAGAUCCCUAGAGAGGGCAGGGAGCCCCUUGACAUGUGGAAUGUGAUCUCUGUUGGGUGCUGGUGGAUCCCACAGGUGGUCUGGCAUGGAAGAAGGCCAGAGGCUGCGAUGGAUCAUCUUUGUCUUGGGAGAUUCCUGGAGAUGGUGGGGAGCCCCUGGGCACGUGCAGCAUAUGUGGCGUGGGCUUCUUCAGGUGCUGGUGGAUCCCUCAGGAUGCUUUUCAAGGUUUUUCUAUGAGUUCUGUUAAAGAGUCUGAAAAUGGAGCGUAGAAGACAUGCUUCGAUUUCCAGGAUGGUUGUGUUUUCCAGAGAGGCGGAGGUAAACCACUGGCGCAGCCCUGCCUCCCACAGAUAAUUCCGGGUGCAGUGUUUCAUAUCUAGACUUGGACUUCUAUCCUACCAUACUUCUUUGUGUGCAGUUCAUUGUGGAACCAGCACAGAUUUUCAUACGAAAGUUAUUUCUUUUUAACCUCAAAAAGUGACAGAAUGGAGUGUAUCAUGAAAAAGUCUGACAUCAAAACCUCAAAAUGUGAUAUUGAUUGGGUGAGAUAGAAUUCCAUGGAAUUUCAUUGCCAAACCAGUGAAGUGCUAAUUUUGACAUUUGUACCAGCUAACGUAGCUGUGAAGAAACACACCAAUACACUUCUAAGGACAGCAUAGACCAAGAUCUAGGUUUCAUAUGGAUGAAUUUAUUCUUCCCUUUGAGGCAAGACAAGAAGGAAAGAAAGUAUUGGGAAUAAUGCUGCCCUCCCAUCCUCAAGGGCCAGUGGGAACUCUAAUAUUGAUUGGUUUUCACAGAAUUCCAUGGACUUUAACUGCUGAACCAAUGAUGCACUGAUUUUGUCACUUGUACCAGCUAACGCAUCUGGGAGGCAACAAAACAAUACUCUCCUGAGGUUAAUGUGGACCAAAAACUAGAUUUCAUAUAAAAGAGUUUAUUCCUUCUACUUGAGGUGUGACAUGAAGGAAAGUAAUGGAAAUAAUUCUGCCCUCCCAUUCUCAAGGGCCAGGGGGAAUUCAAAUAUUGAACGGAAGUGAUUUUGGAAUUGCAUGGAAUUCUCACUGCCAUCCCAAAGAAAUGCUGAUCUUGUCACUCUUACCUGUUUCAUUCCCUGGGGGCAGAACAAAAGGACGCACUCCAAAGAUCGGCAUGAACCAAGAACUGGGUUUCAUAUAAAAUAUUUUAUUCUGUCCUCUUGAGAUGUGACAUGAGAAAAGUAUUGAGAAUACUUCUAUCACCUCAUCUUCAAGAAUCCGUAGGAAUUCUCCCAUGGUGGACUUUACGGUUAACCUGAACAGGUCUUGGAAAAAGGACUUUAAACAUUCUCCUGUUCUGUGGAAUAAGUAUACUUUUUUCUGGACAUACACCUUGUCAGUGAGUUCCAUGUGAUACUAGAGUUGCAUAGAUUUUUAACCUUUACGCCAAUGAAGAUCUGAGGCAAACAUUGCCCCUUUUUUAGAAGUUUGCAUUUGUCACUGAUAACUGUAAUAAUUGAUCUUGUUGAAAAGCCUGGGAAAUGAAGAUCUGAUAUGUCACUUUUACCGGCUUCCUCAACUGAAAAAGAAUACAAUGAAACACGCUGAGAAUUUUUGUGCUUUCUCAGUCUUGCUGAUGAUCUUUCUAUGGGCCUGAAGCGUGGAGAGUGCCAGAGAGGCUGAUCCUCAGCAGUGUGGCAGAGGAAAGUUGGGUGCGACUAAGGGGUAUGCGGUGCCCACAUGCCACUGGGUCCUCAGCAGUACCACCUGAUUGGAAGUGAUAUUGGUGGAAGACAACAUUUUGCCGCUUGGAAUUCUCACCUCCACACCAAAGAAGUACUGUUUUUGUCAUUUGCACCAGCUUCUUUCUCCAGGAAAGAUCAAAACGAUGCACUGCAAGUGUGAUUGGUCCAGAUAGCUGCCUUAUCCAACUGCCUCCUUUGGACCACUUCAUCAUGGGACAGCUUGAUGCAAUCUACUUGACAAGACCCUGGAACCCCACACCCCUCAUGGAACCAGUGUCCACCUCCCAGUCACAGUGUGACCCCAGGGAACUCUUGCCUGCUUGCUUUAAACCCACCACUUAAAAGUCUCCACAGAAAACCUGUUUGAAUAGUACCCUUGACCCAAUAAGGGCAUUGGCCCCUGGGUGUCUCUCUCUCUCUCUCUCUCUCUCUCUCCCUCUCUCUCCCUCUCUCUCUCUCGCUCCCUGACCUCUGCGUGUGGACUCCAGGCAUGCCAUAUACCCCUCAGGACCUGAAGCAAAAGAAUGAAUUAAAGAAAACUCCAGAGAAUGAGCUGACAACCUACUCCCUGGUCAGUGGCUCUCCAUGCCUACCUGUGGUCUCUUGGACACCCUUGCAGAAGAUGACUUCCUGGGAACUCUUCUGGGAGUGAAUGUUAUCAGCAAAUUCCCAAAACAACACCCCUUAGACAAAAAGCCUCCUCACCUAUGCAUUGCCUAGACCACCCACUAAAGGUGAUGGCCACAAAGAGGUGGAUUUGUUGAGUUGGUGCCAUUCCUUCUACUGCCAGCUUCACCAAAACAAUGACACAGUCUUCCUUCCGCAUGGAGACUCUUCUCUUUCCUGUGUUGCAGUGGAUGCCUCCUGCAGAUAAGAAAUGCUUAACUGAGAAAUGCUCAUGUUGGGAUAUCAUCGAUGAGACUUUAAUUUGGGCAUGGUGACUGUUUCCCUUGCUGCCACUUGACUCAAUCCCAGGAGCCUCAGUAGAGGAUAUAAUAUUACACAAGAUGCUCAAAAUGGUGGAAUUGCUCAGUGCUCCCAUAAAUAUACAUUUAUAAUUUUCAUUUGCCACAUGGUAAACUGAAAAAUACAGACUAUAUUAAAAAGAAACUGCAUGAUUUUUUUUCAAAAAUUCAAAGCAUAUUUAAAUAAUAUAUAAAUUAAAUGCCCUCCUCUCUUCCAAUUCUGUCCCUAUAGUUUUCCUCUAUUAAGUGAACUACAUGCAUUCUUUUAGUGGAUAGAUGCACACAAACACACAAGCCAUUAUGGGGAAGGAUCCACGUGUGUGGCCAUAUUGUAACACAUUUUUCUGCAAAUCACCUCUUUCAUUUAACAGCCCUUAUUCAAUGGCCUUUUUCUUUUUCAGUAGUACAUACACAUCUGUGUCAUUUGUUGAAUGACGACAUGAAUGUUUUGUAGAUAAAAUAUAAUUAAAUGUUUUAAGCAUUUCUCACUCAUAGAUAUUUAUGUUAGCACCAAAUUUCUGUGCAAUGAACCUCCCUAUAUAUCAGUAAUUUUGCAUUUGUCUAUAAUAUCAUAAUAAAUUACUUAUCAGUUGAAUUACUGGGAUUAAGUAUGUGCACACUUUAUAUUUAUAUUUUGAAAAUUAUUGCAAGAUUGCCUUCAAAAAUGUGGUUAACAACUUUAUCUUCAAAUGGCAAUGAAUGAGAUUGCCAGCUUUCCUACAGCCUCACAGACAAUGGAUUUUAUAAAUAUUUAACAUUUUUGCCAAUGUGAUCACCCAAACUAUUGUCUUAAAUUGUAUCUCUUUUGUUUUUGAGUUUGGUCAUUUUUUCAUGUUUAUUAGCCAUCUGUAUUUUUUAAUUUCUUCUUUAUGUCCAAUUUUGUGGGUGGGAGGAGGAUUUAGUCUCUUCCUGAUUUCGAAGAGCUCAUUUACUAUUUCGGGAAAUAAGAUUUGGAUUGUCAACCAUUAUAGCUAUUUUUUACACACUUUUCAACUUUGUUUUUGUUAUAAGAAUGUGUAUGAUUGUUACAUGUCCAAGUAUAACCAUGUUCGCUUUUAUGGCUUCUGAGUUUCAUGUCAUUUUUGGAAAGAUAUAUAUAUUGAGUCCAUAAAACCCUUCACCUAUGUUAAAUUCUAAUUCUUUUGUGUUUUUUUAAUUCAAAUUCUUAAAUCAUGAGAAAUUUUUUUGUUUUGAAAUCUUAAAGUUGCCAAGUUACUUGCCAUUACUUGCGAUUAUUUGCCAAUAAUUGCCCAUUUAUCUGUACCGCCAUCUUGCGCAUAUGCUGUACUCUCAUCUGUGACUGGCUCCAUUUUUGUUCUGUGGAUUUGUGUGUCUCUUCUUCUGCCUCCUGUCUCGUGUCUGCUCGUUGGAAGAAAUUACAGUUUAGACUGCAAUUUCAUCAACUUUAAUAAAUCAAUUGAGGGGAGAAUUGGUUUUUAAAAAUAUUAAGUAAGUCUUCGUAUCCAAGGACAAGGUAUGUCUUUUCUUAUUCAAUAAUUUUAAUUACUGUUAAUAUUUUCACUGUGGUGAUGGGAGUUUUUCUUUUAAUUUAUUUUCUUGUUCAUUUUUUGUAUCUAAAGUUUUUGUUUUGUUUUGUUUUGGGGGUAAGUUGUCACCUUACUGUUUCUUGUUGCUUUUCAGAUUUUUUCAAAGUAUAGACUAAAUCCUUCACAAAUAUUUAAAGUUUUUAUUUUCCCCCUUCAUAUUGAUCCUGAUUUUAGUUAUGUUGACAAAGUCCACAGACUGUUACUAUCAGAACACUUGAACAGUUAUGGAAAUAUUACCUACCCUUGAUUUAAUCAGAGUUUAAUGGUAUGCUUCUUUGGUUUGACUGGCACAUUGUCGCUGGUCAUUUCCUCCCAAAGACCACCAGAAAGAGCUAUGAUCAAGCAAAGCUGAGUUUGUUAAACUUACCUGCAGCAAGGGAAAACACCACCUUGAUAGGGUUUAAUAAUGUUUCAAAAUCAAGAAAUGAGGCUUUGGGGUCUGGGCAGGGAACUAAUUAGAAAUGGGCAAAAUUUGUCAUGCAAUACCUUGUGGGAAAGUGAGAUGAGGUUCUUAAUGUGAGUAUUGAUGGUGAAAUCAUUUUCUAGGUGAGCUGUUUGCCUAUAUAAAGAUGUUAUCAAUGACAGAAGAACUAUUUGCCUAGAUAAACAAACUGAAUUUAUUUAUUGGUUUACAGUUUUAUCUUGCUGGGCAGGACUCUGCUGGGGGUGGUAUCAGGUCUUAUUCCCAAUAGGUAAGUUAUUUGGAUAUGGGUGGUCUUAAUCAUCAAUGUGUAAAAUGCUGAUUUUAAGUGCGAAAUACUUUGUCUACCAUGUUAGGAAAGUCUGCCACCUUUUAUCUUUUUUAAGGAAUUUUAAUCAAAACCAGGUGGUAGAUAUAAUCAAAUUGUUUUGCAGAAUCAAUUUUCCUGUUCUCUUUAAAGACUUUUAUCACUGUGAAUUAAUUUACUAUUAUUGCAACUUCCUUUAAUUCCUUGAAUGAACAGACCCUACUGGUUUUAAAAAUGUUUUAUUCUUUUAAUUUACUACUUAAUUGUGGGUAUUUUAAUUUGAUUUGGAAUUUUUACAAGUAUACAACUAAGUGAAAUUGAUCUGUGAUUUUUCUUUUUUGUGCUAUUUUUGUCAUGUUUUGAUAUCAGAUAUUCUGGUUGUGUUAAAAUAAUUUUGAGGAUUUUCUUCUUAUACUGUGUUCUAGAGUGGGUAAAAAAGCCCUAGUCUCACUAUCAGUGUUUAAGUGAACACAUCAGUGACAUCAUCUGGACUCUCCUUUGUUUUUGCUGGUUUGGAGUUAGGACAUCUAGAAGUUUUUUUCUUUUUUUCCUUUUUUUGUAUGGUUAUUGCUUGUUCUUUGUUUUGUGUCAAAUUUAACCUGUUUUCUCUUAGCAAAUCACAGCUCAUGCAGAUUUUCAAACACAUUAGCCUUGUUAUACAAAGUGUUCUUUCAUCAUUCUAUUAAAUUUCCAUUUUCAUUCCAGUUAUAGUUAUUUCUGCUGUGCCUUUGUUAAUGAAUAAGUUUAAACAGUGGAUGUUUAGCAUCACUAGCCUUCCCCUUCCAUCUCCCUUAAUCAGGACCUUGGUAUAAUUUAUCAGGUAUUUUUUAAGGUUCUAAUUUACUUAUAUAUAUUGUUUCUGUAUUCUUUUGUUUCUUUUCUUAAUAAAUUCUUAAA
RNAcentral lists this long non-coding RNA (7238 nucleotides) under Homo sapiens (human). RNAcentral's name for it is "small nucleolar RNA host gene 14". The stretch from base 1 to 92 matches the Rfam family "Small nucleolar RNA SNORD116". The record is from RNAcentral. Lineage: Eukaryota; Metazoa; Chordata; Mammalia; Primates; Hominidae.